This 81-nucleotide transfer RNA is filed under the name Angiostrongylus costaricensis. It matches the Rfam family "tRNA". From Rfam's summary of the family: Transfer RNA (tRNA) molecules are approximately 80 nucleotides in length. Their secondary structure includes four short double-helical elements and three loops (D, anti-codon, and T loops). Further hydrogen bonds mediate the characteristic L-shaped molecular structure. tRNAs have two regions of fundamental functional importance: the anti-codon, which is responsible for specific mRNA codon recognition, and the 3' end, to which the tRNAs corresponding amino acid is attached (by aminoacyl-tRNA synthetases). tRNAs cope with the degeneracy of the genetic code in two manners: having more than one tRNA (with a specific anti-codon) for a particular amino acid; and 'wobble' base-pairing, i.e. permitting non-standard base-pairing at the 3rd anti-codon position. The record is from Rfam by way of RNAcentral. Lineage: Eukaryota; Metazoa; Nematoda; Chromadorea; Rhabditida; Metastrongylidae.
CGCGAGAUGGCCGAGCGGUCCAAGGCGCUGGUUUUAGGCACCUGCCCUCCCGGGACGUGGGUUCGAAUCCCACUCUCGUCA